Molecule: ribosomal RNA, 691 nt
Filed under: uncultured Pseudomonadota bacterium
Lineage: Bacteria; Pseudomonadati; Pseudomonadota
Description: bacterial SSU rRNA
Rfam family: Bacterial small subunit ribosomal RNA
Source: RNAcentral
GCCUAACACAUGCAAGUCGAACGGUAACAGGAAGAAGCUUGCUUCUUUGCUGACGAGUGGCGGACGGGUGAGUAAUGUCUGGGAAACUGCCUGAUGGAGGGGGAUAACUACUGGAAACGGUAGCUAAUACCGCAUAACGUCGCAAGACCAAAGAGGGGGACCUUCGGGCCUCUUGCCAUCGGAUGUGCCCAGAUGGGAUUAGCUAGUAGGUGGGGUAACGGCUCACCUAGGCGACGAUCCCUAGCUGGUCUGAGAGGAUGACCAGCCACACUGGAACUGAGACACGGUCCAGACUCCUACGGGAGGCAGCAGUGGGGAAUAUUGCACAAUGGGCGCAAGCCUGAUGCAGCCAUGCCGCGUGUAUGAAGAAGGCCUUCGGGUUGUAAAGUACUUUCAGCGGGGAGGAAGGGAGUAAAGUUAAUACCUUUGCUCAUUGACGUUACCCGCAGAAGAAGCACCGGCUAACUCCGUGCCAGCAGCCGCGGUAAUACGGAGGGUGCAAGCGUUAAUCGGAAUUACUGGGCGUAAAGCGCACGCAGGCGGUUUGUUAAGUCAGAUGUGAAAUCCCCGGGCUCAACCUGGGAACUGCAUCUGAUACUGGCAAGCUUGAGUCUCGUAGAGGGGGGUAGAAUUCCAGGUGUAGCGGUGAAAUGCGUAGAGAUCUGGAGGAAUACCGGUGGCGAAGGCGGCC